CAGUAGCCACGGUAAUGCGUAGGGUGCAAGCGUUAAUCGGAAUUACUGGGCGUAAAGCGUGCGCAGGCGGUUCGCUAAGACAGAUGUGAAAUCCCCGGGCCUAACCUGGGAACUGCAUUUGUGACUGGCGGGCUAGAGUAUGGCAGAGGGGGGUAGAAUUCCACGUAUAGCAGUGAAAUGCGUAGAGAUGUGGAGGAAUACCGAUGGCGAAGGCAGCCCCCUGGGCCAAUACCGACGCUCAUGCACGAAAGCGUGGGGAGCAAACAGGAUUAGAGACCCCUGUAGUCCCUGUCUCUUAUAC
RNAcentral lists this ribosomal RNA (301 nucleotides) under uncultured bacterium. Its description in RNAcentral is "partial 16S ribosomal RNA". It matches the Rfam family "Bacterial small subunit ribosomal RNA", at positions 509 to 807 of the family's 1533-position model. The record is from RNAcentral.